Molecule: long non-coding RNA, 778 nt
Organism: Ctenopharyngodon idella (grass carp)
Lineage: Eukaryota; Metazoa; Chordata; Actinopteri; Cypriniformes; Xenocyprididae
Exons: 3
Source: RefSeq, a predicted model, not a curated record
GUUCUCGUCUUCUCUUCGAUGAGAGUCCUGUGCUUUUAACCGCCAUUUUUACCACAGUCAGUAACUAUUUCGAAUCGCAAGAUGGCGCCAAUUUGCUAGUUGAACUUUUAUAUAUGAACACGAUGGAAUUCGGAAAAGUAGCGCUGCAGCGGGAUGUUGACAACAACAAUACAAUUUUGACUGUUCAGUGUUGCGGUGUUUGAUCAGUCAGAAUCAUAGUCGUGAAUCAUAGUCAAUUUUCUCAGUUUUAAUGGUCUUAUUUUAGGGAGUUACCCUCUCAGAGUUGAUGGAGGCAAAAAGAACCUUCAGCCCGUCAAAACUGGACAUACAAACAGGUGAGGUGUGCAGAUCCACAAAGGGAAUGAGUGUCCAGAAAAGACUUCCUGAAGACACGACAGAAACCAGCCCGUCCCUGAGGCAGGAACUGCAGUCUGAGGAGCACUAUUGUGAACACCUGGAUAAGCAAGGAAACUGGAAAAGAAGACCAGGAACCAAACCUGACAGGCCUUCCUUUUGCGUCUCAUCAGUUAAGGGAGCAUGUGGUUUCACUCCCAGUCUAAAGAGUCACAGCACCUCGAUAGAGUCUGAAUGGACAGAUGAAAAUGACAACAUCCUUUAUGGUUCCUAUGAUGCAUCUCUGACACAGCAGCUGACUGAAGACCGUGAUCUCAGUGCUGACCUGACCAGCCUACUCACUGAGGUACCAUUAUUGUGUGUGUGUUUCUCUAGUAUUACUCAUUGCUGUUGUUCAAACAUGUAUUUAUAUAACUAUAUAUCU